UCGAGAAUCUUCCGCAAUGGACGAAAGUCUGACGGAGCGAUGCCGCGUGGUUGAUGAAGUGGUUCGCCAUGUAAAAACCUUUUAUGAGGGAAGAAGUUUAUUGACGGUACCUCAUGAAUAAGGGGCUCCUAAUCUCGUGCCAGCAGGAGCGGUAAUACGAGAGCCCCGAGCGUUAUCCGGAAUUAUUGGGCGUAAAGUGUGCGUAGGCGGCUAUGUUAGUCAUUUUUCAAAUCUAUCGGCUCAACCGGUAAAAGGGAAAUGAAACGGCAUUGGCUAGAGGCUGUAAGAGGUAUAUGGAACUCAUGGUGUAGGGGUGAAAUCCGUUGAUAUCAUGGGGAACACCAAAAGCGAAGGCAAUAUACUGGUACAGAUCUGACGCUGAGGCACGAAAGCGUGGGUA
Molecule: ribosomal RNA, 400 nt
Filed under: uncultured bacterium
Lineage: Bacteria
Description: bacterial SSU rRNA
Rfam family: Bacterial small subunit ribosomal RNA
Source: RNAcentral